UGCAAGUCGAACGAGAGAGAAGGAGCUUGCUUCUUCGAUCGAGUGGCGAACGGGUGAGUAACGCGUGAGGAACCUGGCUCAAAGAGGGGGACAACAGUUGGAAACGACUGCUAAUACCGCAUAAGCCCACGGGUCGGCAUCGACCUGAGGGAAAAGGAGCAAUCCGCUUUGAGAUGGCCUCGCGUCCGAUUAGCUAGUUGGUGAGGUAACGGCCCACCAAGGCGACGAUCGGUAGCCGGACUGAGAGGUUGAACGGCCACAUUGGGACUGAGACACGGCCCAGACUCCUACGGGAGGCAGCAGUGGGGAAUAUUGCACAAUGGGGGAAACCCUGAUGCAGCGACGCCGCGUGGAGGAAGAAGGUCUUCGGAUUGUAAACUCCUGUUGUUGAGGAAGAUAAUGACGGUACUCAACAAGGAAGUGACGGCUAACUACGUGCCAGCAGCCGCGGUAAAACGUAGGUCACAAGCGUUGUCCGGAAUUACUGGGUGUAAAGGGAGCGCAGGCGGGAAGACAAGUUGGAAGUGAAAUCUAUGGGCUCAACCCAUAAACUGCUUUCAAAACUGUUUUUCUUGAGUAGUGCAGAGGUAGGCGGAAUUCCCGGUGUAGCGGUGGAAUGCGUAGAUAUCGGGAGGAACACCAGUGGCGAAGGCGGCCUACUGGGCACCAACUGACGCUGAGGCUCGAAAGUGUGGGUAGCAAACAGGAUUAGAUACCCUGGUAGUCCACACCGUAAACGAUGAUUACUAGGUGUUGGAGGAUUGACCCCUUCAGUGCCGCAGUUAACACAAUAAGCAUUCCACCUGGGGAGUAC
This 814-nucleotide ribosomal RNA is filed under the name uncultured bacterium. Its description in RNAcentral is "bacterial SSU rRNA". It matches the Rfam family "Bacterial small subunit ribosomal RNA", at positions 56 to 883 of the family's 1533-position model. The record is from RNAcentral.